Molecule: ribosomal RNA, 252 nt
Filed under: uncultured bacterium
Lineage: Bacteria
Description: partial 16S ribosomal RNA
Rfam family: Bacterial small subunit ribosomal RNA
Source: RNAcentral
UACAGGGGGGGCAAGCGUUGUUCGGAAUUACUGGGCGUAAAGGGUCUGUAGGUGGCCAACUAAGUCAGACGUGAAAUCCCUCAGCUUAACUGGGGAACUGCGUCUGAUACUGGAUGGCUUGAGUGUGGGAGAGGAAUGCGGAAUUCCAGGUGUAGCGGUGAAAUGCGUAGAUAUCUGGAGGAACACCGGUGGCGAAGGCGGGUCUCUGGGCCGAUACUGACACUGAGGAGCGAAAGCGUGGGAGCGAACAGG